Gadus macrocephalus (Pacific cod) is the source of this 855-nucleotide long non-coding RNA. RefSeq lists it as uncharacterized. The record is from RefSeq and is a predicted model, not a curated record. NCBI's taxonomy places the organism in Eukaryota, Metazoa, Chordata, Actinopteri, Gadiformes, Gadidae. The transcript has 3 exons.
UGACCCGAGUUCUGCAGGCCGGUGACGAUGAACUACGCUGAUAAAGGCAAGGGACCCGAGUUCUGCAGGCCGGUGAUGGUGAACUAUGAUAAUUAGGGCAUGGGACCCGAGUUCGUACAGACCGAUGAUGGUGAACUACGGUAAUUGGGGCAUGGGACCCGAGUUCGUACAUAACGGUAAUUGGGGCAUGGGACCUGAGCUCGUACAUAACGGUGAUGGUGAACUACGGUUAUUGGGGCAUGGGACCUGAGCUUUUACAGGCCAGUGAUCGUGAACUACGGUAAUUGGGGCAUGCGGCCUUGGCUAACACCUUGUUUAAAAAAAAAAAUCACUGCUCUUUUCUUUCGUGAAAUAACGCAGACUAUCAAAAGUAGACAAUGUAUGCAACGAUUUAAGAUCUGCAAGAAUCAUUCAACAAAAAUCGGUUUGAACGUGCAUGUCCAGUGCCAUUCAUUAACCCAAAUGCAAUGCAAACAUGCAUGGAUUAUUUCAGUAUGUCGCUAGCCCCCCGUCCUCCCAGCAUGACCACUGGGACCUGCACCCAGCUAGCUUCAUCUGGACCUCCGGCCCGGAGGAAAACCACUGCGGGAUCAACGCUCAUGCAUCAAGAUCAGGGACGAGCUGCAGUCUCCACCUCUACUGUCUGUGGUAACGGCAGGUACUACAGUGGCAGGCGGUCUGGUUCUUCACCAACUCUGUGUUUCCGUUUCCUAAGGGGAGUGGGGAACGCUUUGGAGAAGCAGCAACCCAUGCACUGGUACACCGGUCUCUCCCGAGAGAACAGAGGGUUUCUCCUCAGAGUGCAUUCACCGCAGCCCACUGGGAAACCAUCAAUGACCCCGGAUUAAUAAACCA